RNAcentral lists this ribosomal RNA (484 nucleotides) under uncultured bacterium. RNAcentral's name for it is "partial 16S ribosomal RNA". It matches the Rfam family "Bacterial small subunit ribosomal RNA", at positions 30 to 507 of the family's 1533-position model. The record is from RNAcentral.
AUUGAACGCUGGCGGCAGGCCUAACACAUGCAAGUCGAGCGGAUGAAGGGAGCUUGCUCCUGGAUUCAGCGGCGGGCGGGUGAGUGAUGCCUAGGAAUCUGCCUGGUAGUGGGGGAUAACGUCCGGAAACGGGCGCUAAUACCGCAUACGUCCUGAGGGAGAAAGUGGGGGAUCUUCGGACCUCACGCUAUCAGAUGAGCCUAGGUCGGAUUAGCUAGUUGGUGGGGUAAAGGCCUACCAAGGCGACGAUCCGUAACUGGUCUGAGAGGAUGAUCAGUCACACUGGAACUGAGACACGGUCCAGACUCCUACGGGAGGCAGCAGUGGGGAAUAUUGGACAAUGGGCGAAAGCCUGAUCCAGCCAUGCCGCGUGUGUGAAGAAGGUCUUCGGAUUGUAAAGCACUUUAAGUUGGGAGGAAGGGCAGUAAGUUAAUACCUUGCUGUUUUGACGUUACCAACAGAAUAAGCACCGGCUAACUUCGUG